Apis florea (little honeybee) is the source of this 3524-nucleotide unclassified non-coding RNA. Lineage: Eukaryota; Metazoa; Arthropoda; Insecta; Hymenoptera; Apidae. The record is from RefSeq and is a predicted model, not a curated record.
ACGAAUGGAAGAACGCGAGAUCGUGUCACGGGGGAGGGAGAUGAUGCUAAAGGAUAUAAAGUGGCGUAGGAAAGAUGAUAGAAAGAAAGAUAGCGGAGAAAGGGCGAGAAAGAUGACAAGGUACGCGAGCUUGCGUAUUAACGCAGAAACAUACCACUUACGUAUAGAUAGGUCUAUACACGAUAGAAUAUAUAAAUAGUACCGCGCACACACAGAGAACAAGUGCGAGCGUGACCAAACGAAUGUGUGGAACGUGAAUGAGAGAGUGAGAGAGUGAAUAGACGAACCACUAAAGUAUAUUAAACGCGAGCACGUGUACGCGCGUAUACACGCGUUCCUGCUGUUACUUUGCUUGAAGCGCGUGUAUGCGCAUCUACACUUAGAUUAUAGAUAUGUAUAUUGUAUAUUACAUUUGUAUAAAGAAAAAUCUUUUCUACGGUUAAUUUAUUCGUGGCUGAAUUGCCAAGUAACACAUAUAUAAAAAGUUUCGCAGUAAGAGGAGCACGACACGGAGAAAAGGGGCGGGAAGACGAGAAGGCCGCGACUGGAUUAUUUGCAAAAAUUAUUCCAGUCUCUUACCACUGCGAUAGGAAACGCAUAUAAAGAAUAUCGCAUAAAGAGGAAGAAAGAGGGAAAGAAAGCAGGAAAGGGCGGGGCAGGGGGAAGGAAAGCUCUGAAAAGAAGCAUUGUCCGUAUUUUCGAACGUUUUCCUCGGCAUAUGAUGUAUACGCUUUUAUACUCGUUAACACUGGAAUUGUAUCGAGCGCGCGAGGCCCUGUCGAGCGUUAGAGAGCGUGAUAUGACACGAGAUCGAGAUAAUGCACGCGCGUUCGGAUUGCGUGAGAGCGAGAGAACUGUAAAUCUGUAAGAAUGAACGUUUGCGUUUAUGUGUGUAUGUUAAGUAUGUAUGCGUAUGUGGGUGUGCUUCAUGGGGUCGACGAGAAUGCGGGCAGAUGGAAAAAGGACAAUUGUGUGGGGGGCAUAAGCGUGAGGAGAAGAAAACACAGAUCAGGAAGAGGGAGUGGGGAGAAAGAGCAACGCACGCCUGAAAUCUCUUCUACGUACGUAUAUAGUAUACCACAUUCGGGCGUCGUUUCCAUUUUGUUAAUUUUCUCUUUUUUUUUUUUUCCAGUAUUAUCUAGUCGUGCGAGUUUAAUUAAAUAUCGUUUCGUUAGGGAACGGGGAAAUGACAAAAGCGAUACAUGCAUGCAUGCGUGGUGGUUGCUAAAUCGAUGCUGUUAUUGGCUCCACUCUCUGCUUUACAAGGAGAAUGAAUUUGGACGAAGGAAAUUCGCGUUAACUGGAUCUUUUUCUUCUUUUCUCUUUUUUCAUUUUCUUUUCCUUUUCUUUUCUUUUCUUUUCUUUUCUUUUUUUUUUUCUCUCUUAACAAACAUUGACUUAACGUAUAUACAGGGAUAAUCGUUUUCCUCGUUAGUUCAAGUCUACUUCUCAGGCAAGAUUUAGAAAAUAAUUAACGCCUUUGAGAUUCUUUGGUGUUGGAGCUGCCGCUGCAGCCCGCAACGGCGUUUAAUUGCACGGUAACAGCGCUUCCCACGCGGACGGAAUUCACCGAACGAAGGUGUGUUAACUUUCCAUUCCCGAGCAGCUUGAUCGUUGAAGAAUGUACCACGCUGUCGAUGUUCCACGAGGACACACACACAUCGUCAUCAUUAUGACCGUACGAUACGAUUCGUUGUCGAAAUUUUAUCUGAAAUUAUUUUUUUUAAUCAAAUACUCUAUAAAAUUAUAUCAUUUUUCAUUUUUGCAUAUUUAAAUAUCGAAAGCAUCACGAGUAAUUGAACAUAUAUCAUUGAUCGUAAAUGUAUACGAGGUCGACAGCGAGAAAGGAUUGUUAGAAGUUCAUAAGGUACGAAUGGGAAGGAAGGGUCAAAUUGUUCGAAAAUAUAUCACGAGAAAAGCGAUUGUUCGAAACAACGAUUCUUCAAACUACUCGUUCGGCUUCGUUCAUCGCGAAGAAGUAGCGAGAAGUGAGACGAAAUUAUUACCAUCGAAAAGUCAAUAUGGCGACUAAAAUCGAACAUCAAAUGAAUCGUGACGCAUCUACAUUCAUACCUUUAUUCUUCUAUGUUGAAGGAAUAAGAGAACGCAUGGUACAUAGAGAACGGAGAUUGAUCGUAAUUGAUAAUUUUAAAUUCAUUGAUCGGGUUAGCCUUUCACCAGCCAAGAAUCGUUUACGUAAAUAAAUAAUACUAGUUUAAAAGCUCAAGAAUAGGCAAUCGAAUUUGAUUGGUUGUUUCUAAUAGAUUUAAUAUACAAUCGUAAAAAAAAAAGAAUACUGGUCGAAAGUGUCACCAUCUACAGAUAAGAACAUAUACCACGUGAACAAACGAGUAAACUAUAUAACAUUUAUUCAUUACAUACUCGAACUUUUGUUGCGGAUACUAUAUAUUCGAGUCUAAUCCCCACCAUUGUGAAUUCUUUUUGGGGUUAGUGAAGUGCAUAAUGUGAAUAAUGAAAUAAUACAUAACAAAUUUUUUGAAAUAUACAAGCUUUCAAUUCCACUUAGUCUUUUGCUAGUUCUCAUUACCUACAUUUGUUGUUGUCAGCAAAAAUAAAAUAAGGUUAGAAUUUCAUAUUGCGAUCUUAUAACGGAUCGUAUAACGAAUAAAUAUUGUAUUUUUCUUAGCUUCUAUAUUUCAAGUGUCAAUUCUUGAGCCCAACUAGUGUAUUACGUUCAUGUUGUGAAUAUAUUUCACGUAACAAAAGAAACAACGAAAGUGUUUUACAGAGACGUUGAGAAAAGUCAAUUGGAUUUUUGAAUGUGUAUUAAAAUUCGAUUUGAAUGAAUCGAUGCAAGAGGAAAGAAGUUUGCUACAAUGUUAAUUAGAAAGUAAUGUGCGACAAUCCCAUUGAUGUUUUGUAUAAACCUACGUACACGUCUGUAUGUAUAAUGUGUGUGGUUCGAUGUGUGUGCGCGCGCGCGUGUCUCGCCAAGCGAAAAGAAAAAAAUCCGAUUCAUGAUGAUUCGAAGUUAAUCAAGAAGAUGAUGCCAAUGACAGAAGGUUACAGAAGAAAAAGAGAAAAGAGAACGAGCCGAAAAUAAGAAGAAAGUGGCAGGCUGGUUGGUCCAGUGUUGUCACGUGACCGGAAGUGGCCUCUUCCCCACCCUUCAACUCCACCUUCGAUGUGGAGACCUGUACGCGUUCCCCCCUUUUUCCUUCCUUUGGCUUCAUCCGGUUAGCGAUGGGUAUUAAAUUCCGUCCGCUGUAAGUUUUUGAAUGAAAAAUUCCGAUAAAAAUCUCCUUUUAAUAGUUAGUAAUGAAUAAUAAUUUUUUAAUCUAUUUAUAAAUUCAUAGGUUUUUUUAAUAAUUCAUAGAAGAGAAAAAUUGUUAGAUAUGUAUAAUAUAUAAGGAAUAUAAUAUAUUCCUUAGAAUAUUAAAUGGACUGUUAAAGAAAAAAGGUAUCACGAUAUCAUUAUUAUUUCAAUUUAAUUUUAAUACAAACAAAAAUAAAAAUUUGAUGGAAUAUUAAAAUUGUCUUUGAAAUAUCAAAUUUUGCAAUAU